UGGGGGAUAUUGCACAAUGGGCGAAAGCCUGAUGCCGCGACGCCGCGUGGGGGAUGAAGGCCUUCGGGUUGUAAACUUCUUUUGCUCUGAACAAGGCAUGCCUUUGGGGUGUGUUGAGUGUAGGGGUUGAUUAGCGCCGGCUAACUACGUGCCAGCAGCCGCGGUAAUACGUAGGGCGCGAGCGUUGUUCGGAAUUAGUGGGCGUAAAGGGCUUGUAGGUGGCUGGUUGCGUCUGUCGUGAAAGCUCAUGGCUUAACUGUGGGUUUGCGGUGGGUACGGGCUGGCUUGAGUGCAGUAGGGGAGGCUGGAAUUCCUGGUGUAGCGGUGGAAUGCGCAGAUAUCAGGAGGAAUACCGGUGGCGAAGGCGGGUCUCUGGGCUGUUACUGACGCUGAGGAGCGAAAGCGUGGGGAGCGAACAGG
Molecule: ribosomal RNA, 420 nt
Filed under: Fusobacteriota bacterium
Lineage: Bacteria; Fusobacteriati; Fusobacteriota
Description: Fusobacteria bacterium partial 16S ribosomal RNA
Rfam family: Bacterial small subunit ribosomal RNA
Source: RNAcentral